This 229-nucleotide long non-coding RNA is filed under the name Lathyrus oleraceus (garden pea). RNAcentral describes it as "Pisum sativum (pea) long non-coding RNA (PSAT_LNC038941)". The record is from RNAcentral. Lineage: Eukaryota; Viridiplantae; Streptophyta; Magnoliopsida; Fabales; Fabaceae.
GAAGACUGUCCAGGGUCUGAUGGAUGAGGGGAGUAUUUCGAUCGAGAAGGCUGAUAAGGGGAAUGAUGAGGUCUCCACCAUAACAAUAUAUUUUGACCCGGUGGAUUUGUCUAAUCUAGCUGAGGCGGCUCCGGUUACCAUCACGAUACCUGGACCAAUUCCGUAUGACAAAGAUGAUGCCGUGUCGUGGCAUUAUGGUGGAGAGGUUUAUUGCAAUGGUGAGAAAGUG